Brassica napus (rape) is the source of this 2787-nucleotide long non-coding RNA. RefSeq lists it as uncharacterized. The record is from RefSeq and is a predicted model, not a curated record. The transcript is spliced from 2 exons. Lineage: Eukaryota; Viridiplantae; Streptophyta; Magnoliopsida; Brassicales; Brassicaceae.
UAUCCAAGUUCUUAAACAGUUCCAUACAAUCGCCUAGAAGAACAGUUCCAUACAAUCGCCUAGAAGAACUACUUCCUUGUAACCAAGCGCAUGUAGUUGUUGGACCGCUAACAACAAAGCCAUCGCUUCAGCAAUGAAUGGCGAGGUAGUGGAAUCAAUUGCAGAGCUUCCUUGGAGUCUAAGGGUGCCUUAUUGGCUAAAUAAGGACCACCCUAUUCCAGCUUUCUCAACUGGUGACUUCCAUGAUGCAUCUACAAUGCAAUACAUGCAUGUAUGAUGUUGGAGAAUGUCAUUGAGAGAGAUUUGCGGAGAACGAUGGAUGACCUGUGAGGUAAGGGUGUUUUGUCGCAUUGCUUCUUCCCAAACUCUAUCAUCCAAUAUUGCUGCAUGGGCUGUCUUGACAAUAUGAUCUCUCUCAUUUUCAAAAACUAACUUAUUUCGCAUCUUCCAUAUUCUCCAACCUAUAAAGAAAGGCAAGUUUUUCUGUAACUGAGCAGUGGACCUAUCCAUCAAGUACUGGAAGAACUGGAAAAUAGCUAUAUUUGACUGAGGGAACUCAGCUACAGGGAGUCCGUUAUGGAGGAUCUUCCACCAGAAAAUUUUCAACUUUGGUGGAAGGUUUAACUUCCACACUUUAGAUAUGAGUUUAUGAUGUAGCUGAGAUUGAGAAGAAAGAGGAACCUGAUUCUGCCGAGUCUCUUUGUCCAUUGCUCUUUGAAUGUAAUAUCCAGUCUUAACUGUAUAAUGUCCUGAUUUACUUGGAAACCAGAAGAGUACAUCUUGCGCACCAAACCAACUGGGACGGAUAUUUAAAAUUUUGGAUACAUCAUGAUGAUGAACCAGGUUCUGUAUCUUUUGAACAUCCCAGAGCUUAGUUCCUGCAAUAAAUAAAUCCUUGACAAGUAAAUCAGGGUAUAGAGAGUAUCCCAGACCUGUUGGAAAAGGAUUAUGUGCAUCAUUGAGCCAAUGAUCCUUCCAAACUCGCACUUUUUCGCCAUCUCCAACCAGCCACCUUGUUCCUCUCUGUACCAGUUCUUGUGUUUGGACAAUGCUUCUCAGGCAAGACUUGAAGUUGGGUAACUUCUAGCCUCCAUGAAAUUUAUUUUCCUGUAAUAUUUUAGAUUUGAAUACACGGGCAAGCAGGGAAGAGGGUUGAGUAAUUAACCUCCACGCUUGUUUCGCAAGGAGUGCUUUGUUGAAUGCCAUCAUGUCCUUUAAACCUAGCCCUCCCUCUCUUCUUGAAGCAGUAAUCUUAUCCCAUGCUAUCCAUGGAAUACCACUCUUGUCUUUGUUUACUACCCACCAGAAUUUCCUCAUAGCUUUAGUAAUCUCUUGAAUCAUAGUUUUAGGAAGCAUGAAACAAGACAUAGUAUAAGUAGGGAUAUCGGUUAUUACUGCCUUGAGUAAGACCUCUUUACCAGCAGGGGAUAAAAACUUAGUGUACCAGCUCUCAAGCUUGUUUUUAAUUCUCUGAGUUAUAAAUUGAAAUGCCUCUUUCCUAUUUUUUCCUAUCUGUUCUGGUAACCCUAAGUAUUUUCCAAAACCCCCCAAUUUUGACUAUACCAAGUCGUUUCACAAUUUGAUCUUGGACAAGGCUAGGAGUACCUUUACUGAAGAAUAUAGCUGACUUAGUAUAGUUGAUUUCUUGACCUGGGGCUUGCUGGUAAAUGUUAAGAAUGCAUGAAAGGUUAUGUACCUCUUCCAUCGUUGCUUUGCAGAAAGCAAGGGUGUCGUCCGCAAAUAAGAGAUGUGAGACUGGAGGUCCACUUCUCGAAGCCUUGAAACCAUGUUGAAUGUUAUGUUUAAUUAGCGUGGAUAAGCCUUCUGUACAAAGGAUAUAAAGAUAAGGUGAUAUAGGAUCACCUUGUCUCAGUCCUCUUUGGGGUUUGAUGCUCCUUGACUGCUCACCAUUGAUCAAAACUGUAUACGAGACAGUGGUAAUGCAAGUUUUGACCCAGCAUCUCCAUUGCUUGCAGAAUCCCAUUUUUUCCAUGACUGCAUCAAGGAAACUCCACUCCACCUUGUCAAAAGCCUAUGCAAUAUCAAACUUAAGAGCCAUGAACUUGUUUUUUAGAUUUUUUGUAUGAAGGGACUGGAGUAAUUCGUGAGCGAUAAGGACAUUAUCAGUUAUUAGUCUUUCAGGGAUGAUGAAAGCAGUUUAGUUUUCAGAGAUAAUUGUAUUAAGCCAUGGUUUAAGUCGCUGGGCUAGGAUCUUUGAGACUAUCUUAUAGGCCACAUUAGCUAGGCUAAUAGGUCGAUAAUCUCUUAUAGAGGAAGGGUUUUCAAAUUUUGGUAUCAAGCAAAUAUGGGUCUGGUUGAGUUUGGGGUCCAAGUAAUUUUGCUCAAAAAAUUUCUUAACAAAAGAUAGAAGACCUGGUUUGAUGGUUUUCCAAUGCUGCUGAUAAAAGGCUGGUGUCAUGCCAUCAGGGCCAGGUGAUUUAUCUGGGUUCAUAGCGAACACAGCUUCCUUGUUCUCUUGCACUGUUACUGGACCUGUUAAGCUCUGGUUGAUUUGAUCUGUGAGUAUGUAUUUUUUUUUUUUUUUUUGUCAACUAUAGACUAUGUAUUUAAUCAUGGAGGUAUCGAACUAAUAAGUAAUUUUAAAUAUUCAAUCGAGAGCGAUAAUUGUAUUCAACUUUUUAUAACAAAAAAAAAAGGACAACAUACUCAAAACUCAAAAAAAGUUUGAACAUAGUUUAAACAGACAAAAACUCAUCAGGAUUCAUCAUAGCAAAAGGCUCCAUUUUCUCAUCUUCAAAGGUCUUGCACGCUCAAACCUGAUAAAAU